GAAAGAUGAAAAGGAGUUUGAAAAGAGAGUCAAAGAGUGCUUGAAAUUAUCGGGAGGGAAGCGGAUGGGGGCCGGCGAUGCUCCCCGAUCGGAUGUGGAAUGGUGAAAGCCGGUCCGCCACUCGGCUUGGGGAGCGGACCGAUGCGUAUUGCGGCGGCGCCCCAAGCCCGGGUUGUYGCGUUAUGCCCGUGGAGACGUUGUCGUCGCGAUUGUGGAAGGCAGCACACACCCUUAGGCAUGCCUUGGCACCUGCAUGCUCCAGGCAUCGGCCUGUGGGCUCCCCAUUCGGCCCGUCUUGAAACACGG
Molecule: non-coding RNA, 306 nt
Filed under: Nelumbo nucifera (sacred lotus)
Lineage: Eukaryota; Viridiplantae; Streptophyta; Magnoliopsida; Proteales; Nelumbonaceae
Description: Eukaryotic large subunit ribosomal RNA
Rfam family: Eukaryotic large subunit ribosomal RNA
Source: Rfam by way of RNAcentral